Lupinus albus (white lupine) is the source of this 203-nucleotide non-coding RNA. Lineage: Eukaryota; Viridiplantae; Streptophyta; Magnoliopsida; Fabales; Fabaceae. The record is from the annotation of a GenBank genome assembly.
UCAUGUGAGUGCAUAAAACUGGUGAAAUCGACAUACCCACUCAUUCUUAAAUCUCUCUUACUCUAUCUUCGAACCUAUCUCUCACAUUCUCUCUCUUUCUCAUUAUGCGUUUGUGCAAGUUGAGCUUCAAUUCCAACUGCCAUGUGUCUAAUGCAUGGAUGUGCCAAGGGAUCAUGCCCAUGCAAUUGCCAAUUAAAGUGUAA